RNAcentral lists this ribosomal RNA (727 nucleotides) under uncultured Sphingomonadaceae bacterium. RNAcentral describes it as "bacterial SSU rRNA". It matches the Rfam family "Bacterial small subunit ribosomal RNA", at positions 58 to 834 of the family's 1533-position model. The record is from RNAcentral. Lineage: Bacteria; Pseudomonadati; Pseudomonadota; Alphaproteobacteria; Sphingomonadales; Sphingomonadaceae.
CAAGUCGAACGAAGGCUUCGGCCUUAGUGGCGCACGGGUGCGUAACGCGUGGGAAUCUGCCCUCAGGUACGGAAUAACUCAGGGAAACUUGAGCUAAUACCGUAUAAUGACUUCGGUCCAAAGAUUUAUCGCCUGGGGAUGAGCCCGCGUCGGAUUAGCUAGUUGGUAGGGUAAAAGCCUACCAAGGCGACGAUCCGUAGCUGGUCUGAGAGGAUGAUCAGCCACACUGGGACUGAGACACGGCCCAGACUCCUACGGGAGGCAGCAGUGGGGAAUAUUGGACAAUGGGCGCAAGCCUGAUCCAGCAAUGCCGCGUGAGUGAUGAAGGCCUUAGGGUUGUAAAGCUCUUUUACCCGGGAUGAUAAUGACAGUACCGGGAGAAUAAGCCCCGGCUAACUCCGUGCCAGCAGCCGCGGUAAUACGGAGGGGGCUAGCGUUGUUCGGAAUUACUGGGCGUAAAGCGCACGUAGCGGCUUUGUAAGUUAGAGGUGAAAGCCCAGGGCUUAACCCUGGAAUUGCCUUUAAGACUGCAUCGCUAGAAUCGUGGAGAGGUGAGUGGAAUUCCGAGUGUAAGGUGAAAUUCUAGAUAUUCGGAAGAACACCAGUGGCGAAGGCGACUCACUGGAGACGUAUUGACGCUGAGGUGCGAAAGCGUGGGGAGCAAACAAGAUUAGAUACCCUGGUAGUCCACGCUGUAAACGAUGAUGACUAGCUGUCGGGGCGCUUA